Ochotona princeps (American pika) is the source of this 126-nucleotide small nucleolar RNA. RefSeq annotates it as small nucleolar RNA SNORA17. The record is from RefSeq and is a predicted model, not a curated record. The transcript has a single exon. NCBI's taxonomy places the organism in Eukaryota, Metazoa, Chordata, Mammalia, Lagomorpha, Ochotonidae.
GCUGUCCUUAAGGUGUUGUGGGUGUGGCUGCUGUGCCCCACCUGUGUCAGCAGGUGGCAGAGAGGGGCCACAUCUGCACUUAGUGCUUUGGCCCCUGAGCACCCGAAUGACUGGUAGGCAGACAGC